AAGGCUGAGUCCCAGCGCCGCAGGUCCAGCCCGGGGACCCCCCGCCCCCAGCACAGCCCUCCCAACCCCCCUCGCUUCCCCGCCGUCCGGAGGAGGGGCGCUGCGACUCCAGCGGGACUCUGGGCCUCCCCCUCCACGAUUCCCCCGGGACGCGCAGGGCGGGGGCCCCCUCCCCACCCACGCUGGGCCUAGCGAGACGGUGGGAGGGCAGGGGCGAGAUGAAGGACUAAAUUCCCCAGACUAGGAUGCUGCGCAGCUCUUCCUAAACAGGAAGACGAGGCAAUUUGGGCCAGAGAGUCAGAAGUGCCCUGUAACCAGCUUCGCCUCUCUGGGCACCUUUUUGGGGUUCCGCCAACCCCAUCUCCAACCCCAACUCCCAGCCUUGGAGGUCGGGCCGGGGAGCCGCAGGGGGGAUCCUCCGGUGCUCUGGUGCCCUCUAGCGGCCAUAGGCUCUAAAGCCAACUCUCAGUCCUUCCUCCUGCCUCUCUCCCCAGCGCGCCGGGGCUGCCCUGGCCUUCGGCACCUGCCAGCCUGAUUCCAUUCCUCCUCUCCCUCUAAGUGCAAUGAAAUGCCCUACAGAGGUUUAGGAUCUCUCGGAGAAGGUCUUUUAGUCAAUACACUUUAACCCUGAGAACGUUGUUUCUAGAAUAAACCUGAAAUACUGUAUUUUUCUCCAUGUGUUUCCAAGGAGAAACAGCCCAGUGUGUGCUGGGUCCCUCGCUGAGAGCAGUCUCUGGGCAUCCUGUCCUCCCUCUUACGGCGUCCUGGCUUGUUAGGCAGGGAAGGCUCCCAGCGCCGAUGCCUGGGCCUCUCUGAGGGACGCUGACAUGUGGGAUCACGACGGCUCCUGGGAAAGUGGAGAGAGUGAGGGCUGGGCAUCUGGUCUGCAUCAGACCCCAGCGCUGCCCCUACCAGCUGUGUGACCUGGAAACAUUCCCUGACCUCUCUGUGUCUAGCUUUCCAACCGUGACAGAGGAUUGCUGUGCUUGGCACACAGGAGGCCCUCGACCAGAGGAAAAAGCCAGUCUCCCCAAAGAACCACUCCUCUUACAUGCCCAAAGCAAAAGGCAUGUGCCACUCAUCGCAGAGCUGCUCCUUGGCCAGCAGGGCAAGGGCAAUCCAGCAGCUCCUCCCGUCCCUGCCUGAGGGCUUUCGCUCCUCAGUGAGGGUGACUCGGAGCAGGUCUGGCGUCCCAGGAAGUCUGAACUGAGUUUCUGUGACUUGGGGGAGUUCCCUGUUCCACACAACUUGGUUUCCAGAUCGUUCCAACAAGGAACAAGAGCACCUGCUCAGUGUUUCAGCUGCAAGGUCCUCCCUUUAGAAGUUGCUCCAUCACUUUGGGGCUGGGAGAUGUGAACUCCACAGCGCAUGACCAUCUGACUGAUGACUUCAGGGGAAUUGUGCCUGCCCACCGCUGCACUCCGCAUGCCGCCUCCUAGAAGAGGGGUUAGUGAUCCCCGGCCACGUGCAGUUUUAUCAGAACACAGCCCUGGCCACUACUGUAACCACAUGUGUGAGAAAUAGAGGAUCCCGAGUGCCUGGACCCCCGUCACCCAGAAAGCAGAAGUCAGGGCAACAAACAGAAGAGGAGAAAGUACUUGUAGAUCAUAUAUCUGAUAAGGGGUUAACACCCAAAACGUAUAAGGAACUCCUACAACUCAACAGCAAAAAAAUCAAGUAAUCCAAUUGAAAAACAGGCAAAGGAACGGAAUAGACAUUUUUCCCAAGAAGACACACAGAUGGCCAACAGGUACAUGAAAAGAUGCUCAACAUCACUCAUCAUCAGGGAAAUGCAAAUCAAAACCACAAUGAGAUACCUCACACCUGUCAGGAUGGCUGUCAUCAAAUAGACAAGAGAUAACAUAAAAUAAAAAGGACUGUCCUUUGUAUACGAAGGCAGUAGUCCCAGCCCUUCAGCCUCAUUAACGCAGACCCUUUUAGAUGUGCGUUUUACUCUGAUCCAGCCACGCACAUUCACCUGGUUCCUUUCAGGGACACGGGUGUACGAUUUGAAAGGGACCAGCUUCUUUACUGGCUUGUGGUCCCAGAAGAGGGAGGGGGACCAGGUGGUGAUGAGUGACCCUCAUGAAACAUUCUAACGCAUGUCUUUAUCGCCACCAGCAGACCCCUUCCUCCACACUUUUAAGAAGCUGGAACUUCAUCCUUUAUCUUGGCCCUCACACUUCUGUACACUACUAAAUGACACUAUUUUUUCUUUUUAACCUUAUAAGGAUGCAUCCUCUUCUGGAAUUCCUCAAAUCACAAAGUCUCACUCUCAAGUUCUUGAAAAUGAGAGCGGUUCCUGAAAGGCAGGUAAAGCAACUGAGGACAAAAGAAAAUCGUAAAUCGUUUAUCAGUCAGAAGAACUUUGCUAAAAAUGCUAAAGCCAUAAUUUAAGCCUCAUUAGGUGCAAAGCAACCAGAAUAAAAGAUUCAAAUGUGUUUUUAGCUGAAUGGAAAUUCUAAAGUUAAGGAAAAAGAGAUAAAUGGUCUGCAAGUCUUAAAUAGUAGGAUACGUAUACAGAACUCAAAAGUUUUUUUUGUUUGUUUUUGUUUUUUGCAUGAACUUGCCUAAAUAGGACUGUGCUGUUGAUAGAUAACACUUCCUGAUAUUUCCCUGUGAAACCAGAACCGCUAUCUUGCUGACUGAACUAACAGGGGUCACAGGAUUUAAGGGUGCUAAUUGAAUCAAAGAAGGUCAUGGGAUUUAAGGCCGCUGAUAGAUCUAACGGUGGUCACGGGAUUUUAGGAGGCUGCUUGAUCACACAGGGGUCACAGGAUUUAAGGGGGCUAUUUUAAUCAAAAAGGGUCAUGAUAUAAGGGAACUUAAUGAAUCAACAAGGGUCACUCGAUUUAAGGGGGCUGAUAAAUCAAAGGGGGUCUCAGGAUUUAAGGGGCCUGUUUGAUCUACAAGGGUCACGGGAUUUAAGGGGGCUGAUUGAUCGAACGUUUUGUCAAGAAGAAUUGCUCAUGCACAGUUUUAGCUUUCUCUUUUAAAUGUCACAACUGAAUCAAUCAAGUCCAGAGGGAUUUUAUGUGUUUACAGUUCAAGGAAUCUGCAGGGGAAUCCUUUAUUCUGUCUUCAAUGAAAGGUCCAUUCAAAAAGAAUAAACUUUCUAAAAUGUUGAUUUUCCAUCUGGCUCACAACAUCGUAUUUACAACUUUGUAUUUCUUUUGACUUAGAAAACUAGAGCUCUCUCUUCUUGGAAACACAUGGAGAAAAAUACAGUAUUUCAGGUUCAUUCUAGAAACCACCUUCUCAGGGUCAAGGUGUAUUGACUAAAAGAGCUUCUUUCUUCAAGAGGUUCUAAACCUCUGUAGGGCACUUCAUUGUGCUUAAAGGGAAAGGAGGAACAAAAUCAGGCUGGCAGGUGCCCAAGGCCAGUGCAGCCCCCAGGGCUGGGGAGGGAGGCAGGAGGAAGGGCUAAGAGUUGGCCUUAGAGAGAACGGCCGCUAGAGGGCGCCAGAGCACCGGCGGAUCCCACCUGUGGCUCCCGGCCAGACAUCCAGGCUGGGAGACGGGGAUGGAGGAACCCCAAGGACGUGCCCAGAGAGGAGGGGUUGGUAACCGGGCGUUUCUGACUUUCUGGCCCAAAUUGCCUCGCCUCACACAGAGGACAGAGGUCUGCCCCUUCAGCAUCCGACGGGGCACUUCCAGCCUGGUCAGGUGGCCCAGUGGCUGGACAGCCUCACAGGCUGUCUGCGGUGUGACUGCCCUUUGCUUCUCCAGAAGCAAGACUCUGGACCCAGAAAUACCCGGCUUGACUCUUGGGCUUGCAGUUUGCAAGCUGUAAGCCUGCGUGGGUGUUGGCAUCUGGGAAACGGGGCUGGUGGUCCUGUAAAACGUGGAGCCUGUAAAAGCGGUGGUAUUUUGGUGGGUGGGCUGUGCUCAUACCUGUGCCCUUCCUCUCUGAGAGUUUUCCCCCAACUUCCUUCUUCCCUUUCCAUCUGAGCCUCCCCCUCCUGUCCCCACACCCCUUCCCUCAGCAGAAGGUUCUCGCUUAUCCAUCUGUUGUACAUUGAUCCCAGCCUUUACGUCAAAAGUUAUGUUAGGUGCUGGGAUCAAGGAGAAGUUUCCGACUUUUGAAGUUUCAGGCUCGAGAGGCAGAGUGAGUGGAGCCGGGUCACAUGACUAGAAGCCCGCCACCUGCCCUAAAUCCGGGGCACCUGACGUUUAGCGCCCGGGGUGGGGCGAGGAAGGGAACGGAUAAAAGGCCCUGCAAGUGACUGAGGGCCCAGUGCCCCAACGCCCGGAAUGGAGCCCGUGUCCCUGCGGAGCCCGAACUCCCUGCACGGCCUCUCUUUAGUCCAUCCGCCCUAGCUGAGUUGCCCGGGAGGCGGAGGGGAGGGCGGCGCGACGCGGACCCAGUCCACGGCCGCUCGGCCGCUGCGCUAAGACGGACCGCGCCCGCUGAGGCCCCGGCCGCCCCUGGGGCCUCCGGCCAGGGUAAAGUAGUCAUUGGGAGGCAGCCGCCCAGCCAGAAACUACAGUUCCCACAAUGGAUGUGAACAGAAAUGAUGUCUGUGACUUCCAGGCCAGGGUUUUUAAGAAGCAGGUAUGCCUUCUCUACUCUCUGUCUCUAGAUGCAGGAGGCCAGAAGGAUGACAGUAGCAAUAAGACAGAAGAUGCCUAGGCCCACGGAUCAACCACAUGGAGAAUAGCUGUCUGCUGUUCAGCAACACUUGCACUGGACUAUUACAUGGGUGGUCCUGUUGGUUGGGAAUCUUGGUCCUAGCAGUGUGUUUAUUUGGACAGAAUCCUCUCACAGCAAAACAAGCUGAGGUCCCGUGGAGCUCAUCAUCCAUACAUAGAAUCUAUACUGGAUUUGUUGAUGCUGGUGAUGUUUGGCAGAGACUGAAUACCUGGCUUGUAGAAGAAAAUGUACCUCACACUCGGUCUUGCUCUCGUACGUGGAAGGCACACAUGACCGGUGACCAUGUCUUCUGCAUGCCUGGAGAUAAGGCGGCCACAGGACCAAUAGGGACUCCUGGUGGCCAGUGCACCCUUGUACAAAGGAUUGGCCCUAAUUUGGUCAUUUCAGGCAAAGAUGUAACUAUAAACACCACCCUGAAUCCAGAAAUUAAGGUUUCCCAAGCAGUUCUUGGAAGGCAGUUCCUGGCAGCACUAAAACCCCAAAGAAGCAAAGAGAAGCCAAAACAAAAUCCAGAUACCCUUCAUGGAACGUUUGCUUUGUUAUGGAGGGCAGUGCUGCCAAAGAGAAAUGACUUCUCAGGUUUUCCAUAUAUUGUCCCUAAUGGUGUCCCCAGAAAAGUAAACUUGGUGCCACAUAGAUUAAUGUGCUACAAAGUAAGACUGUCCAGGAGCCCUGAGAACGUCUGUGCCCCAUGAGAUGGGAAGGACAGGCAAGCCCACUUCCUAUGUUACCCUGGGUCACUCUACCAUAGGCAGCCUGGGAGUGGGCAGGCACUGGGCCUGAUACCACGGUCCAAAUGGGGUCAGAGUCCCCAUUAAUGUGGCAUGCUCUGGACUGGGUUUGGGCAUUUCUGAAUCAGCAGCCUGAAGAGGUUCUCUAAUUAGACAUGUUAGAAUCAACAGAAUUUGGAGGGAGGGGUAGGGAUGAGAGGACAGGUAAGAGGAAAUAGAGAGGAAACUAAUGCUGAUGGAAUAGCUGCUUGCAUCAGUCAGCUUAUGUAACAAUGAUGAUAGUAAUAAUAAUGGUAUCUUACAUUACUCAGCAUUUACUAUGUUCCAGGCUCCGUUCUAGCUACUUUACAUAUAUUAUCUCAUUUACUCCUUUCCGCAACCUUAUUAUGAAGUGGGUAUUUUUAUUAUUAUCCCUGCUUAUAAGAACCAAGACAUUGAGUACCUUGAUCAAGCAGACACAGCUUGAGAGGGGUGGGAGCAGGAUAUAUAUGUUCAUCACUUCAUUUAAUACUCACAACAACCCGAUGAUAUAGAUUUUCAUCAUCUCCAAUUUACAGGCAAGAAACUAAGGCCCUUGGACCAGCAACAUCAGCAUCACUCAGGAGCUUGUUAGAAAUGCAAAAUCUUUGGCCCCACUUCAAACCUACUGAGGCAGAAUCUGGACAGAACCACCGGUCUAGACCAGAGGGCCCAGCGAGUCCCAAACUUGCACGUGCAUGUAAACCACAAAACUCCUGUUUUUGCAGAAGACCAGUUUUCCUGGUUAUGCAUAUAAAUCAAGAUGAGGAAGCAGAUAUGUUCAUGGAAAAACACCCAAAGGAAAACAGGCAAAACCAGACAAAUCAGUCAUCAAUGUCUCCGAACUCAGAUUCUGUCUUGCCUGUGAAACAGUGUUCAUGGUACAUCUGCUAAAAAGCUGAUGUCCAGUUCGGUGGACUUACAUUCCCUUGAGGACAAAGCCUACACUGAAAUCCUCUUCAGGGGGGAAUCUCAAAGCAGCACUUUCCAUACCGUCUUCUGGGAGAACACAGAAGUCUUCAAAGUCUGCAAGUUCAGAUUGUGGCUGUUCAACAGCUUUCUCCUUGGAGAGGUCAUCUAUUCCUGUCACUUACAUCAGUGGCUCUCCAAGUGUGGUCCUGGACUAGCAGCUGCAGUAUCACCUGGAAACCAGACAGAAAUGCACAUUCUCAGGCCCGGAUCCAGGCAUACAGAAUCAGGUCUUCUGGGGUGGGGCCCAGCAAUCUGUGUUUUAAGAAGCCCCUCAGUUGUUCUGAUGCACGCUAAAGUUUGAGAACCACUUGUUUAAAUGAUCACUUCUAAGCUGUUGACUCCCCAAUCUUUAUCAUUAGCCCUGAUUUUAUACCCACACUUCCCUCUGGUAUUUCAAACUGGAGUGUUUUGUGGAAUGUUACAAAAUGGGAGGAAAAAAAAACAUAGCUCUAUGGUCAAAAAGAAUUUCCAUGGGGGAAUUCCCUGCCCUCCCCCCCCCCCCAAAAAAAAAACCAGUUUCCAUGGUAUUGCAGCAUUUCUUAAGAUUUGACUAUUGGGACCUAUUUCCCAGUGGUUGUGGGAGGAUGCAACAACAGGACGGCGUCACUGGAAAAGAGAUGCAUUGAAAUGGAAUUCAAACUAACAAUAUUGUAAAUCAACUAUACUUCAAUUUAAAAAAAAAAAGGAAUUCAUUAUUGUCCCCUGCUAAACCACCUCUACAGCCUAUUUCUUUUUAAUUUUUUUAAGUUGAAUAUUUUAUUAUUAAACUUUCUUAUUUUCCUGCAAGGCUGUAGCUUCACUGUAUAAAAAUAGCACCAGCAAACACAGUAUGUUGCAAAAUUAAGAUAGUAUUGUUCUUCAUCUGACACUGUACAACUAACAAAAACUUUUCUCCACCUCCAGUUAUUUCCAAUGGGAAGAUCAGUAAGUUUUGGGGGGUUUUUUUUGUUUUUUUUUUUGCAGUACGCGGGCCUCUCACCGCUGCGGCCUCUCCCGUUACGGAGCACAGGCUCCGGAAGCGCAGGCUCAGCGGCCAUGGCUCACGGGCCCAGCUGCUCCGCGGCAUGUGGGAUCUUCCGGAACCGGGUCACGAAGCCGUGUGCCCUGCAUCGGCAGGCGGACUUUCAACCACUGCGCCACUAGGGAAGCCCUCAUCAAGUAUUUUGACCCAAUCCAGGGAUGACUGUAAACUGUUAUAAGGCUUAAUAUAACAAUGUUAUCUUUGAAUUACAUAAUUUUUAUAACUAGUUUUACUACAGAUAAUUUCAGGAAUUCUGAGUAUUGUAAACUGGAGCCUAGCCUAAAAAUCAUAGGGUGCUGUGGAAAAGAUGCAUAGUGUUUAUCUGCAGUCAUUAGGAAGUUAGGGGGUAUUCUGGUAACAUGUUGCAAGUAGUUUCCUUUGCUACAAGUUGCUUUUUAAAAAAUCUAUCCACAACUAAUUUAAGACAACUAUGCUAGAUUGUUUCAUACUAGUUUAUUUAGGGGUUCCAUUUUCACUCAAUAGAUUUUAUGUGUUUCUCAUACGCUUCUUCACUCAUUAGUUCAUCUAGUUCUGAAGGGUUACUGAGUGUCACAUUGAUCCGCCAAUCAUCUUCAUAACAAGAUUUUUGGACAAGCUCUGGAUUUUCUGCCAGAGCUUCAUUAAUUUCAGUUACUUCUGAUGGAGGAAGAAGAGCAGACAAGCAGCUUUCAAACUUUCUAAAGCACCAAACUCCUCUUGUUUGUUCAAUUUUGUCCCAACUUCAGGCAGAUUACAGUAUGCAACAUCUCUCAAAGCUCCCUGUGCAAAAUUGCUGAUUCCCGCUGCUGCAACACCGUUUUCUGUUGUGAUCUGUCCACGUCCGCCUGUGAAUUGACGCGCGGAGAGCGGAGCUGGGACUGGGCGCGGCUCCCCGCAGGGCCAGCGCCCCCAAGGCCCGGGCCGCCGCAGAGAUUGCGCGCGCAGGCGCAGACGGCAGACCUCGGCGCGCACGCCCCGCGCCGCUCGUUGCGCCAAGCACCCGGGCUUCUGGCCUCCCUUUCCUUUCAAACAGACCUCAAAUGUUGGAGUUCUGACUUCCUCUUCUCCCUAUGCAGUCAGCCUCUGAGUUUUAGGGACUCAGUUACGAUAACGUUGAAAGGUUGGAGACCUGACGUGACUUUGGAGCGUGAAGCAAAGCUCUUGUUGAGACUUCGCAGAGUCAAGGCCCGCUCCCUGGGACCCGCAGCCCGGCCCGUCCGCCCGGCUGACCUCAGUAACCAGCACCAGGCACAAGUCCUGGGGCUGCCCCCCAGGGCCACAGGUGACAUGGGGUCUCACCUCCGAGAAGGCCCCAGGAAGAGCUGAGAAGGCCUUUUCUGGAGGAAUGGAGGAAGAGCGCAAGGAGCCAGUCAGGACUUGAGGGAAAGGAAGAAUAGAAGAUGUCUAGAAGAGCAGGAAACGGGGUGGAGGCCUGGUGACAGAAGGGAGCAGUCGAGGAGGCGUGGGCGCAGCCUGGCCCGUGCGUGGAAGGACCUCGGCGUGGGCGGGAGACGUUAAGGGGACCGGGGGGGCUGAGGAGUCAGGGACCCAUCGCCGGACCACAGUCAUUCCACAGUUUCUGCUGGAAUAUAAAUGACUUUCCCAUGGAUCCACCGCCCAAAGCCACCUGCAGUAUCUUUGUUUCCUUUAUCCUGAGGGAAGAAGCCGCUUCUGACUGUCCCAGAGAGGAACUCCUGAGAGAAGAAAGACUGUGUGGUUGCAUCUCCAGGACGUCCCCACUUAGUGCCACCAAGCAGGGGAGUGGCUGUGGCACAAGGCUGGCACCUGCACCGUGAGACCCUCCAUCAGUGUCCGCAGCAACAACUUCUCAGAGCCUCUGAUGGGAUAUUUUGUGUUGUGACUCUUGGGAAGGUGGGUACAGCAUGCACUGUUCUUCUGCCAUAUGUGACCACAGAAUCCUUUUUUCAAAUACUCCCUGAAAAUCUGCAGAACACAGUUUAGGGACCACUGCCCCAAGUUGGAAGGAACAGUGUAGACUGGGGAAUUCUUCACUGCCACACCAGUUGAGGGCAGGGCCAGGGUGUUAGGACACUUCAAGGGGACUUGAAGGCAUCACUGUACAUAGUCAAUCACAUGAAAAAGCAAAGGACCUUGUCAGGUGUGGAGCGGACCCUUGUUUAUGGAGUCACCAUUUGUAGUUUACAGCUGACCUAGUUGUAUCCUGCCUACCUCCAGGGGGCGCCAUUCAUAAGACCCUGGGUUGACUGAGGCCCUUUGGAGUCCAGCGAGGCAGUAGGAGCCCUCCAAAAACAGGUUUAUGUUUUAAACUGUAAAAACUAAAACAGAGUUACAGAGCUGUUGGCCAGAAUGUCCAGCACAGUCUCUCUCACCCUUGAGUACAUCCAUUGACUCUCGUUUUUUCUGUUAGUGCAGCUUCUCGGGGUGGGAGUGGGUAAGGCUCUUAAGUUUUCAGACUCAGACCCCAGACUUGGUUCCAUCAUUGCUUAUCCCACCAAGCUGAGGCGAAUAAGGCGUAUUAAAGCUCUUAUCAAUGUGAUCAACAGUCGCUUUGUGGAAGCUACAUCCUGCUGCAGCUCCCUGCCCUCAGACUUCGGUACCCAGGUUCUGAAAGAGGGUACUGUGCCUAAACUUAACGAUUUGCUCUGAGCCUGAGAGAGGCGGGACCCCUGAACACUGCACUCUACCCAGAAUUCCUUUCACUUGUUUCUAAACAUUUUUUGCUGUCAUAUAUAAGCAUUAAGUAAUUUCUUGGAUUAAAACUCUCAUCAUCCUGGA
This is a long non-coding RNA of Orcinus orca (killer whale), 10132 nucleotides long. RefSeq lists it as uncharacterized. The record is from RefSeq and is a predicted model, not a curated record. Lineage: Eukaryota; Metazoa; Chordata; Mammalia; Artiodactyla; Delphinidae. The transcript has 7 exons.